This 195-nucleotide unclassified non-coding RNA is filed under the name plant metagenome. RNAcentral describes it as "partial contains small subunit ribosomal RNA and internal transcribed spacer 1". The stretch from base 1 to 44 matches the Rfam family "Eukaryotic small subunit ribosomal RNA", at positions 1788 to 1831 of the family's 1831-position model. The record is from RNAcentral.
GUCGUAACAAGGUUUCCGUAGGUGAACCUGCGGAAGGAUCAUUAUCGAAUGUAGGACUGUAGCUGGCUCUCUGAGCAUGUGCACGUCUAUCCAUACCCACACACCUGUGCACCCGUUGUAGGUUCUCGAAAGAGAAUCUAUGUCUUUUUAUAAUCACACCUAUCGUAUGUCUAUAGAAUGAAUAAAUCAAUACAA